GACGAACGCUGGCGGCGCGCCUAACACAUGCAAGUCGAACGGAGUCACGAGGAGCUUGCUUUUCUUGACUUAGUGGCGAACGGGUGAGUAACGCGUGAGUAACCUGCCCUGGAGUGGGGGACAACAGUUGGAAACGACUGCUAAUACCGCAUAAGCCCACGGAUCCGCAUGGAUCUGCGGGAAAAGGAUUUAUUCGCUUCAGGAUGGACUCGCGUCCAAUUAGCUAGUUGGUGAGGUAACGGCCCACCAAGGCGACGAUUGGUAGCCGGACUGAGAGGUUGAACGGCCACAGUGGGACUGAGACACGGCCCAGACUCCUACGGGAGGCAGCAGUGGGGGAUAUUGCACAAUGGGGGAAACCCUGAUGCAGCGACGCCGCGUGGAGGAAGAAGGUUUUCGGAUUGUAAACUCCUGUCGUUAGGGACGAUAAUGACGGUACCUAACAAGAAAGCACCGGCUAACUACGUG
Molecule: ribosomal RNA, 468 nt
Filed under: uncultured bacterium
Lineage: Bacteria
Description: partial 16S ribosomal RNA
Rfam family: Bacterial small subunit ribosomal RNA
Source: RNAcentral